ACAGUAGUCCUCUGCCUCCACCGCCCCGGGAUCUCCUUGCGCUCGGUCCUCUACGUGGAGUCACCUAUGCAGAGGAAUUCCACGGGGCGGGGGCGAGGACAGGGUGCGGGGGUCUUUAUGGCAGACAAUCCCCGGCUGAGCGCUUGGCCAGAGUUUCUGUGAUGCUAGAAUCUGGACUGCCUGCGACCUCUCCGGGACUCGGACACCAGCCCUCGCCUCCUGGUGAUCUUUUAGGUCCUGCAGAGAAGUGAAGAGAUGAGCCCCAGAGAGGCGAAGCCACUUGAGCUCGUGAGUGACAGUCAGAUGUCAAGCCCUGCUCUUUCUAAAGCGUGCUGCCUUCAGAAAAGAAGAGCCAGAAGGAUGGAAAUUACUUCAGAAAGAUGAAUACCAGCUUUGAAGGAAUAAAAGCUGACGAGGAAUUGAAGGAGUUGAGGCACGAGCUUGAACAGGGUUGCAUGUUUGGCCCUUGAUUGUAAAUGCCCAUUGCUGCACCUGUUCCUGUUACUUGGGGAGUUGCAGCAGAAGGAACAGCGGCCUGGGACUCCAGAGAACUGGGUUCCCUCUCAUCCCUCCAGGGCCACCACUUCUUGUGGGCCCUUGGGCAAGUCACUGUACUUUCUGAGUCUCAGUUUCCCCAUUUGCAGAAUGGAAAUAACUACCCCGGUCUACCAACUUAGAAGAAUUGCUUUGAGGAUCUGAUAAGGUGGUGUGGAUGAUGCUGCCUUGGGGGCUUUACAGUCUGGAGCUCAAGGGACCCCUUAAGUUGGGCUUACUUAGUAACUCCAGGGGUGGGCAGAACAGGACUCCAAUGAGGGUUUUUUUCUUUUUCCCUUUUUUUUCUUUUCCUAUCUCUUAACUUUUAUCUUUAUUAUUUUACAAUGCCCUUGUAAGAUGAAACAAGUGAUGCUGAAAUAUCUUUUUCUUUUUUAACCUUUAUUUUAGAAUUGGGGUACAUGUGCAGGUUUGUUACAUAGGUACAGUGUGGGCUGCUGAGGUUUGGGAGUACGAAUGAAUUAGUCACCCCAGUGGUGAGCAUAGUGCCCGAUAAGUGGUUUUUUCAACCCUUACUCCCAUCCCUCUCCAUUCUUGUGUUCCCCAGUGUCUGCUGUUCCCAUUUUUAUGACCAUGUGUACUCAAUGUUUAGCUCCCACUUAGAAGUAAGAACAUGCCCAGCACUUUGGGAGGCCGAGGUGGGUGGAUCAUGAGGUCAAGAGAUCGAGACCAUCUUGGCUAACAAAGUGAAACCCUGUCUCUACUAAAAACAUAAAAAAUUGGCCGGGUGUGGUGGUGGGCACCUGUAGUCCUAGCUACUCGGGAGGCUGAGACAGGAGAAUCGCCUGAACCGGGGAGGUGGAGGUUGCAGUGAGCUGAGAUUGUACCACUGCACUCCAGCCUGGGUGACAGAGUGAGACUCCAUCUCAAAAAAAUAAAAAUAAAAAAAUAAAAAGAAUGUGGUGUAUGA
RNAcentral lists this long non-coding RNA (1462 nucleotides) under Homo sapiens (human). RNAcentral describes it as "non-protein coding OSER1-DT:40". Lineage: Eukaryota; Metazoa; Chordata; Mammalia; Primates; Hominidae. The record is from RNAcentral.